UUCAGUCCCUGGCAUCGUCACUCCAGCAAAAACUCGCAGCACAUUCGCGGCAUCAAUGUCCAUGCACACAUUUAUCUCCGGAACUCCUUUGGGUGCUGGGGGAAUUCCAACAAUCUUGAAAUAGCCCAGUAAAUGAUUUUCUUCUACUGUUUUUCCUUCGCCUUCAUAAACAAGGAUAAGUGCUCCUGUUUGGUUAUCAUGAGUGGUUGUAAAGGACAGCUCUUUCCUUGCAGGCAUUGUCAUAUUUCGAGGUAUUAUAGGAACAAAGUUGUUUCUAUCAGCUCUUAUCCCAAUGCCUAAAGGAGUAGCUUGGAUUGUUAAUAGAUCCAAACUUCCAAAAGGAUCACUGAUUCCAGAAGCCACUGCUCCUUCAAGAGCUGCCCCACAGACGGCAGCUUCCAAUGGG
RNAcentral lists this unclassified non-coding RNA (406 nucleotides) under Hevea brasiliensis (rubber tree). The record is from RNAcentral. Lineage: Eukaryota; Viridiplantae; Streptophyta; Magnoliopsida; Malpighiales; Euphorbiaceae.